This is a long non-coding RNA of Malaclemys terrapin pileata, 6188 nucleotides long. RefSeq lists it as uncharacterized. NCBI's taxonomy places the organism in Eukaryota, Metazoa, Chordata, Testudines, Emydidae. The record is from RefSeq and is a predicted model, not a curated record. The transcript is spliced from 3 exons.
GCGAGAUUCCCCCUCCCCUGCCCUGGCCGCGCCCCCACUGGCCGGAGCCCCCCCUCGGGCGGCCUCGGAGCCUGGGGAACAAGGUCAACUCCCAGACUACUGCAUUGGACAGCACAGUAUGGGGAGGAGGUGACCAGCCCUCUCUGGAGAAAGAAGUGGUUCAGGACUAUUUAGAAAAGCUGGACGAGCACAAGUCCAUGGGGCCAGAUGCGCUGCAUCCGAGGGUGCUAAAGGAGUUGGCGGAUGUGAAUGCAGAGCCAUUAGCUAUUAUCUUUGAAAACUCAUGGUGAUCGGGCAAGCUCCUGGAUGACUGGAAAAAGGCUAAUGUAGUGCCCCUCUUUAGAAAAGGGAAGGAGGAGGAUCUGGAGAACUAUAGGCCAGUCAGUCUCACCUCAGUCCCUGGAAAAUCAUGGAGCAGGUCCUCAAGGAAUCAAUUUUGAAGCACUUAGAGGGGAGGAAAGUGAUCAGGAACAGUCAGCAUGGAUUCACCAAGGGCAAGUCAUGCCUGACUAACCUAAUUGCCUUCUAUGACGAGAUAACUGGCUCUGUGGAUGAGGGGAAAGCAGUGGAUGUGUUAUUCCUUGACUUUAGCAAAGCUUUUGAUACGGUCUCCCACAGUAUUCUUGCCAGCAAGUUAAAGAAGUAUGGGCUGGAUGAAUGGACUAUAAGGUGGAUAGAAAGCUGGCUAGAUCAUCGGCCUUAACAGGUAGUGAUCAAAAGCUCCAAGCGGAGUGCCCCAAGGGUCGGUCCUGGGGCCGAUUUUGUUCAGUAUCUUCAUUAAUGAUCUGGAGGAUGGCGUGGUUUGCACCCUCAGCAAGUUUGCAGAUGACACUAAACUGGGAGGAGUGGUUGAUACGCUGGAGGGUAGGGAUAGGAUACAGAUGGACCUAGCCAAAUUAGAGGAUUGGACCAAAAGAAAUCUGAUGAGGUUCAACAAGGACAAGUGCAGAGUCCUGCACUUAGGACGGAAGAAUCCUAUGCACUGCUACAGACUAGGGACCAAGUGGCUAGGCAGCAGUUGUACAGAAAAGGACCUUGGGGUUACGGUGGACGAGAAGCUGGAUAUGAGUCAACCGUGUGCCCUUGUUGCCAAGAAGACUAACGGCAUUUUGGGCUGUAUAAGUAGGGGCAUUGCCAGCAGAUCGAGGGACGUGAUCAUUCCCCUCUAUUCAGCAUUGGCAAACCAAGCCACUGCUCUGAAACAAAAGCCUUUUGCCUGUGGUUGGACAUAUUCCACUGCCUCUUCCAAAUAGCACCUCCACAGCCCCUAACUCGGCUCUCUUCAGUUGUCAGCAGAUGGAAAGCAAGCAGGGUGUGGAAACACGGAGUGGUAAGUUAUUGUGUGAGCCUGGCUGCGUUGCUGGAGGAUGAGGGGCAGAUAAAGUUCAGAGCUAUUUACAGUCACCUCUGCAGCUCCCUCUCCUCUCUGUCAUUUGAGAACAUUACUGGGGUAACUCCAGCAGGGGCCACAGUAGGAAAGCUGUGAAUUUGCUGCUGGGUGGAAGUAGGACAGGCAGAUUGAUGAUCCCUGGAGAACAGGAGCAGGUGUGCUGUGGACCAAGAGAGAUGCACCAAGGGGGCACAGGGUGAAUCCUGUUGGAGAGCUCUGGAUGCCGCUUCAAGGACAAGCACUGUCGCAGCUCCUGUCUUCCUGUGGCAGGUGUGAGCCCCGGGGCUCUCCCCUGCCUGCUCUGUUUGGGGGCCAGGAAGGCACUAGGAAUGGAAGGAAACAGGGCUAUUUUCUCAAAGAAAAGCAAAGGGAGCAGGAUGAGUGGCACUUAAACCAUCUUUUCCUCUUGCUCUAAUGGGCUGCCCCCUCCCAGUUAAACAGAAGCAGUGAAUCCUCGGCCUUUAACAGCUUCCACCACUUUCAGAUCCUUUCCAGUCACAAGCAUAAACAUUUAUCCCCCCCUCACACUAAAGCUUGGGUGCCUGGCCCUCGCUCAUACAAAAGCUACUUUCAGACCCAAACAGGCCCCGGUUUCCUUGAACUGGGCUAGCAGGGAAUGUGGUGGUCUCAGGUACAUGCAUUACUCCAAUCUCUUUCCAACUGGGCAACUGCUAGAGAGAACAGGGGAGGCAACAAUGGUGCGCGUCUUCACUUACCGCUUCUGUUUGGGUCAAGGAUACCCGGGUAAGUGCUCUGCAGGAGAUCGGUCUAAGGAAGACACUGGGCCUGAAAUUCAUGACAACAGCCUGGCUUGGAGGGGUCGGAUUUGCUCUUGGAGGAGGGGAAGCAUUCUAUUUAGAUUGAGCGUUUCAGGGCCUGCGUUCAACAACAACCGUGCUGCAGUCUGGGGGUGAAGGAUGGAUAUAGAACCCCACACAAGUACUGUGGUGCAGAUCAGUACAAAUAAGGAGAAAUGGUGAGGUGAAAGGUAAGUGGGGGACAGACUGCUUCAUAAGUUGAGAGAGGUUUGAGCUUUUUUAAAAGAAAAAAUGCUGUGGCGUAUCAUGUUACUUCAAACUUUUCCUUGGAUAGGACCAUUGCCAGAGACGCUGUGUUUCACCCAAAUACAGUAUCUUUAGACGAAGGAAUGAAAAGCUUUCCUUGAGUCAAAGUCAAAUAAAUCCUUCACAUGAGGUCAGUUUGGGGCUCCUGUCAGCCAACCAAAGCAGAGCACAGCUUAGUGCUUUCCCAAGUAAGCUCCCUCUCCCUGUCCAUGACGGGACCAGACAGCACCCUUCAUCCUAAAGUACAGUUAUAGCUACACCCAAGGUUAUGGCAUUGCACUUUGGCUGCACUGUCACACUGAAGGCAGCCUCAAUUCUAGUCACUCUUUUGGGACCAACUGGAGAUUGGAUAAUGUGAGUCCGAGGCUGAACAACUGUCAAAUGAGCACAGAUUAACAGGACCCCCUCCCCAAAUCAUAAGACCCAUCGCUGUUAAGGUGACAUGUGAAAGCUGGCAGAUGUGAGUGUCCUGUGGAGGAAGCUCACACAGACAAUGCAGUCUGAAAGCAGCUACCGGUCAUUGCAAAUAGGAUUCGGGAGAAGUCACAUCUAACGCAGGUAGGGAGAUCCAAGAGCUUUGGUAACAAGAACUUCAGCCCGUACGAUGUCAUUGUGGUGAGGAGUCUAAACUUCCCUUAAGAGUGGGCUAAGCACCAUAACCCAAUAAACUCAGCUUGCCGGCAGUGCACUGGUGUGAGCGGCGAGGAGGCCUGCAUCCCCUCUAGCAGCUGAGUUGGUAGGUUGAGAUAUUUCACACCCAAUGGCGGGAAUGUUCCAGUAAAGCUGAGCUGUUCUCAACUCUUCCCUGGUCUAGUUUUUCCGGUGUUAGGACCCAGCCCUAAUCUAGGCUCUGGUUUCUUGGCUUGAGCCCAAGCAAGCAACAUUUGUUAAAGAAAACCUUUAUUGAUUAACACAUUGGUCACAGGUACAAUCAUAACAAGCCAUCAUCAUACAGUAGAGCGUCUACUGAAUGUAGAGUCCUACUCCACACAACUCUUCACCUGACUUAAAUUGACCCACAAGGCUAUUGCUUUACAUAGGCUGCACCCUACAAUUUUCAAGACGUUUUCCCCUGUAAGCACAUAGAUUUCCCGUCACGAAGCAUUUUGUAAGCUCUGUAUCAUUCAAUGACUGGAGCAGGUUUUUUCCAUUUUCUUCUGAUAAGUCAGAUAACUGCUGGUGGCACAUUUUCAUGUUUACAUCUAGUGGACAGAAAACUCGCGAGCCAGAGGUAUUCCAAGGAGGGUCCCAUUUGGAGCAAUGUUAGAGCAUCAAGAGAUAAAGAGGUCACCGUAUUUCUGUAGUGAGCAGCGCAAUGGUCUUCCAGUCCAUUCACAAGAGAGCAGCUCUGGCUUAAUAGCGAAUACAGAGCUAGGUGGUCAAACACCCAACACUGCUUAUUGCACACAACUGAAGAUGUUUAAAGUCUGUGGUGCAGACUAGCUUAGAAAUUCUUCCCCUCCAAUUUGAGUUAGGGUUAGGACCCAUUUUUUUCAGCCAAGACAAUUCUAGAUAGCCGUCCAAGGCAGCUACAAUUGCAGUACAUAGGUGCCACCAAGGGGAAGGUUCUUAAACUAUAAAGUCAGUUAUUCCAGGGUUGGAGGCAGAUGUUCAAAACAAGUUAUUCAGUGCGAACAGAAGCCAGUCAUUCCCUUCUUAAGGACAAGGAAGAUGCUUUUCCUUUUCCCACCUUCUAGUCAACAUGUGAUGUUCCAUAAGGACAAGAUGGGUUGUCUGUAAGAAUCACAUUUGGGGAAUUUUCUUAAGGCAUCUUUUUAAUAUGGCUAUUAACACUGCUAAUAUUAAGGCCAACAUGACAUUCCAGCUAAGCAUGGUACCAUGAGAGGAUCCCAAAAGUCUCACCCAGGGCGGGUGGGGCAAGACAGACUUUUUGGAAUGAGAAUCUUGGGUUUAUAGAAUGCAUCCUUCUCCCCACCUAGAGUGGUUAAGAGGGUCAGCAACAUCCCCUCUCCUCCUCCCUCCAGGCAGUGCCCUGCAUUUGUACGGGGCUAUUUCAGAAUUCACUCCAACACUUGCAGUGAGAUAUGAGCAGCAGUGCAGGAGUGAUGGAAUAAAUGGCUUCUUUAAAGCAGUCCUUGAGCUAAAGUAGUAACUAAGAGACAGCAAGUGUCUUCCCCCUUAUCCUGAGCACAGUGAAUGAGCUGCAGCCUCUCAGAAGCAUUUUAUGUAGCAUUGGCUUCUAUGGGAAGUAGAACUGGCACUUGUGUCUUCUCUAGAUAGGAAGCCAGGGCUGAACGACCAAGGGGAAGAAACUUAUAGGCAAGAAACCUCCUCGGGCAGCCGAUUGCUCCCUUCUCUGAAUUUCAGGUUGUUAAGAGUAAGAGGGGAGUUUGUGAAAUAAUGGUCAGACUAACAUUGAUAGGAAGCAUCACUCCUUUAGCCUAGUAAUUAAGUAGCUCACUUGCAAGAGCAAGUUAUAGAGUUGGAUGCUGAGGGGUCUGUGGGUUUAGUGGGCAGGAUCUUUCUACAAAACAGAUUAGAUUAGAGCCAGCCUCCUUUCUCUUUCUCAUUUGAGAAUGGACUGGAAGAAGAUGGGUCUAAGGUCUAAUAGCAGAGGGGAGGGAUUCCCAUCCUGAGAUCAAAAAGCAACAGCUUUGCUUGAUAGCAGUAGCCCCUGACCAUGAAGAAUGGCCCUUUUGUAUACAAGGGUCUUUCUGCUAAGGACUGAUCCUUCUAUUCCAGGAUUAACAGAACAUUGUGAUGCUAUUUCUAGAGCAGAGAAGCAGUAAUAGGAAAUUAACAGUCUUACUUUUAUUCCUUGUUGCCCAUUUAUAAUUGAAGUGAACAGCAAGUUAGAGUGGAACAAAGACAGUGCGGUUAGCACGUCAAUGAGAGAGCCCAAGGACUGUUUUCAGGAGAGCUCAACUCCCAUUUAGGGACCAAAAUACGUGACCAGAUCUUCAAGAGAGCUGAGCACACUGGUACUGAGCUCUCUUGGAAACCUGGCCGUAAGUGUCACCAUAGGAGCAGCUGAGUUCUGUGCACUUUUGAAAAUCUGGACCCAUCAGGUUAGUCAGCCGUAAGUGACGUGAAUGAUGCAAUCUAUUUAAUGUGGCAUCUUUUACUAUGAAAAAUCUAGAAAUUCUUGAAUAUAGGAAUCCCUUCCCCAAUGAAAAGCGGCCCCCUCUGGGGUGGCACGCAGCAGCUGACUGCAUAUCAACAAGAACACUACAUACUGGUUUAGAACAGAGUUUGAAUACAUACCCAAUUCAAACCACAGGGGAAGUUCAGAGGCUGAAUGUAGUUACUAGAGUGGGAAUUUGGCUAGGACAUUGGAAUUAAAUGCAAUUUUGAGAAGAGGGGGACAUGCAAAAAAACAAAGUUCUAUAGACAAUUCAGAAAGCUGGAGGCUACAUUUCCCAGAGCAGUAGAACACAGAGGAAAUACAAUUGGCAUAUUUAGCUGGAAGGACUUAGCGAUGACUGACACCAUAGCAAGUGUUAUGACAGACAUGUAACUAAUACAUAUUGCCAUGAUUGUCAACUUUGUGCAUUACCUUCUGUCUGUUCUCCAUAAAAUAAAGACUAAGAAAAAGCUUAAACAACUGAAGUCUGACUUUUUACAGAGCACAUGAAAAUAUGAGCCACAAGGCUCCACCUUUGGCUGCUGAAGGGGGAGGGAGAGAGGAAGAGAUCUAUGGCCAAGGCAUAUUUGGACCGAUGUUCAGCUGCAAGAGACGUGAUGGGAGUGUGCAGCUAAACUAAAGGGUUAGG